CCUACGGGGUGCUGCAGUGGGGAAUAUUGCACAAUGGGGGAAACCCUGAUGCAGCAACGCCGCGUGAGUGAGGAAGUAUUUCGGUAUGUAAAGCUCUAUCAGCAGGGAAUUGAAAAGAAGGUACCUGAAAAAGAAGCCUCGGCUAACUACGUGCCAGCAGCCGCGGUAAUACGUAGGGGGCAAGCGUUAUCCGGAUUUACUGGGUGUAAAGGGAGCGUAGACGGGAAGGCAAGUCAGAAGUGAAAGCCCGUGGCCCAACCCCGGGACUGCUCUUGGAACUGCGUGGCUGGAGUGCAGGAGGGGCAGGCGGAAUUCCUGGUGUAGCGGUGAAAUGCGUAGAUAUCAGGAGGAACACCGGUGGCGAAGGCAGCUUACCAAUCUAUAACUGACGUUGAGGCACGAAAGCGUGGGGAGCAAACAGGAUUAGAUACCCCAGUAGUC
RNAcentral lists this ribosomal RNA (441 nucleotides) under uncultured bacterium. RNAcentral describes it as "partial 16S ribosomal RNA". It matches the Rfam family "Bacterial small subunit ribosomal RNA", at positions 338 to 795 of the family's 1533-position model. The record is from RNAcentral.